RNAcentral lists this ribosomal RNA (484 nucleotides) under uncultured bacterium. RNAcentral's name for it is "partial 16S ribosomal RNA". It matches the Rfam family "Bacterial small subunit ribosomal RNA", at positions 30 to 507 of the family's 1533-position model. The record is from RNAcentral.
AUUGAACGCUGGCGGCAGGCCUAACACAUGCAAGUCGAGCGGAUGAAGGGAGCUUGCUCCUGGAUUCAGCGGCGGACGGGUGAGUAAUGCCCAUGAAUCUGCCUGGUCUUGGGGGAUAACGUCCGGAUACGGGCGCUAAUACCGCAUACGUCCUGAGGGAGAAAGUGGGUGAUCUUGGGACCUCACGCUAUCAGAUGAGCCUAGGUCGGAUUAGCUAGUUGGUUGGGUAAAGGCCUACCAAGGCGACGAUCCGUAACUGGUCUGAGAGGAUGAUCAGUCACACUGGAACUGAGACAGGGUACAGACUCCUACGGGAGGCAGCAGUGGGGAAUAUUGGACAAUGGGCGAAAGCCUGAUCCAGCCAAGCCGCGUGUGUGAAGAAGGUCUUCGGCUUGUAAAGCACUGUAAGUUGGGAGGAAGGGAAGUAAGUUAAUACCUUGCUGUAUUGACGUUACCAACAGAAUAAGCACCGGCUAACUUCGUG